GGGAAUUUUGGACAAUGGGCGAAAGCCUGAUCCAGCAAUGCCGCGUGUGUGAAGAAGGCCUUCGGGUUGUAAAGCACUUUUGUCCGGAAAGAAAUCCUCUGGGUUAAUACCUCGGGGGGAUGACGGUACCGGGAGAAGAAGCUGCGGCUAACUACGUGCCAGCAGCCGCGGUAAUACGUAGGCAGCAAGCGUUGUUCGGAGUUACUGGGCGUAAAGAGUGCGUAGGCGGUUUUCUAAGUUCGGUGUGAAAUCUCCCGGCUUAACUGGGAGGGUGCGCCGAAGACUGGGAAGCUGGAGUGUGGGAAAGGCAGGCGGAAUUCCUGGUGUAGCGGUGAAAUGCGUAGAUAUCAGGAGGAACACCGGCGGUGUAGACGGCUUGCUAGACCAUAACUGACGCUGAGGCACGAAAGCGUGGGUAGCAAACA
RNAcentral lists this ribosomal RNA (425 nucleotides) under uncultured bacterium. RNAcentral describes it as "bacterial SSU rRNA". It matches the Rfam family "Bacterial small subunit ribosomal RNA", at positions 357 to 774 of the family's 1533-position model. The record is from RNAcentral.